RNAcentral lists this ribosomal RNA (348 nucleotides) under Triticum aestivum (bread wheat). Its description in RNAcentral is "partial small subunit ribosomal RNA". Lineage: Eukaryota; Viridiplantae; Streptophyta; Magnoliopsida; Poales; Poaceae. The record is from RNAcentral.
GAAGAUAUCCCGGUAGUUCGUGACUUUCCAGAUGUCUUUCCAGAGGAACUGCCAGGUGUUCCACCUGACAGAGAUGUAGAGUUUGUCAUAGAUCUUAUCCCAGGAACAGCUCCAAUCUCCCGGAGACCUUACAAGAUGGCACCCUUAGAACUAGCCGAGCUUAAGAAACAACUCGAUGAGUCCUUGCAAAAGGGUUUCAUCCGUCCUAGUUCUUCUCCUUGGGCUUGCCCCGUCCUCUUCGUCAAGAAGAAGGAUGGUACGGACCGGAUGGUUGUAGAUUAUCGUCCCGUUAAUUUGGUCACGAUAAAGAACAAGUAUCCGCUUCCCAGGAUCAACGACCUGUAUGAU